Molecule: ribosomal RNA, 1222 nt
Filed under: uncultured organism
Description: bacterial SSU rRNA
Rfam family: Bacterial small subunit ribosomal RNA
Source: RNAcentral
UCGCUUUGGGAGGAGCUCGCUUACUAUCAGCUUGUUGGUAGGGUAAUGGCCUACCAAGGCUAUGACGGUUAGGGGGUGUGAGAGCAUGACCCCCAGCAUUGGCACUGAAACACUGGCCAAACACCUACGGGUGGCUGCAGUCGAGAAUCUUCCACAAUGGGGGAAACCCUGAUGGAGCGAUGCUGCGUGCGGGAUGAAGGCCUUCGGGUUGUAAACCGCUUUUGUAGGGGACGAAAUUUUUGACGGUACCCUUUCGAAUAAGAGGUUGCUAACUCUGUGCCAGCAGCAGCGGUAAUACAGAGACCUCAAGCGUUAUCCGGAUUUACUGGGCGUAAAGCGUCUGUAGGGGGUUUAUUAAGUUCCAAGUAAAAUUUCAAGGCUCAACUUUGAAUUCGCUUGGAAAACUAAUAAACUGGAGUCUAGCAGAGGUGCAUGGAACUUGUGGUGUAGGAGUGAAAUCCGUUGAUAUCACAAGGAACACCAAAGGCGAAGGCAUUGCACUGGGCUAGCACUGACCCUGAGAGACGAAAGCGUGGGGAGCAAAACGGAUUAGAUACCCGUGUAGUCCACGCCCUAAACGAUGAAUGCUAAAUGUUCGGGGAUUCGACCCCCUGGGUGUUACAGCUAACGCGUUAAGCAUUCCGCCUGGGAAGUACGGCCGCAAGGCUAAAACUCAAAGGAAUAGACGGGGAUCCGCACAAGCGGUGGAGCGUCUGGUUUAAUUCGACAGUAAGCGUGGUACCUCACCAGGGUUUGACAUCCCUUGACAGCCUUGGAAACAAGGUUUCCUUCGGGCAAGGUGACAGGUGCUGCAUGGUCGUCGUCAGUUCGUGCCGUGAGGUGUUCCGUUAAGUCGGGAAACGAACGAAACCCCUAUUGCAUGUUACAAUUUCUCAUGCAAGACUGCCCGGAUAUACUGGGAGGAAGGUGGGGAUGACGUCAGAUCUGCAUGGUCCUUAUACCCUGGGCGACACAGGCGCUACAAUGGCAGAGACAAAGGGUUGCAAAACCGCAAGGUGAAGCUAAUCCCAAAAACUUUGUCUAAGUUCGGAUUGAAGGCUGCAAUUCGCCUUCAUGAAGCUGGAAUCGCUAGUAAUCGUGAAUCAGCCACGUCACGGUGAAUAUGUUCCCGGAUCUUGUACUCACCGCCCGUCACACCAAGAGAGUUGGUAGCUCCCNGAAGCGUCCCGUUUUAGCGGGGCAUCACGGAGAGAUCAGCGAU